This is a non-coding RNA of Podarcis lilfordi (Lilford's wall lizard), 75 nucleotides long. The record is from the annotation of a GenBank genome assembly. Lineage: Eukaryota; Metazoa; Chordata; Lepidosauria; Squamata; Lacertidae.
ACUUGUGGAUAGCUCAGUCAGUAGAGCACGAGGCUCUGAAUCUCAGGGUCAUGGGUUUGAGCUUCAUGCUGGGCA